This 349-nucleotide long non-coding RNA is filed under the name Manihot esculenta (cassava). RNAcentral's name for it is "long non-coding RNA (MESC_LNC011290)". The record is from RNAcentral. Lineage: Eukaryota; Viridiplantae; Streptophyta; Magnoliopsida; Malpighiales; Euphorbiaceae.
UACUCAGCAUAGAUAACAAGGUUAAAAGAGCUUCCUAUCUCAUGACCCCAUUGAUUUUCCACCCCUUUAAGCCUAAAUUGAAUCAAUUAUAGUGUGCUAUCUUCACUUUGGAAGUUCUUUUCUUGAAUUGAAUCUCUAAAUUUGCAUUGGUCAAGGGAAAUAAAAAUAUAAAUACAUGCAAAUAAAAAGUUAGUGUAACUCCCUAUGAGGUGAUUUGCCCAAACUGUCAUGAAAAGAAAAAGAAAAAGAAAAACCAGCACAAAAGCACAAAUCAUAAAACCUGUUCCUAUGGCCAAAUAAGCUAUGAACAGAGCUAGUAGCCACUUGAACAAGUGACUAACUGAGUAAC